UACGGAGGGUGCAAGCGUUAUCCGGAUUCACUGGGUUUAAAGGGUGCGUAGGCGGGCAGGUAAGUCCGUGGUGAAAUCUCUGAGCUUAACUCAGAAACUGCCAUGGAUACUAUUUGUCUUGAAUAUUGUGGAGGUAAGCGGAAUAUGUCAUGUAGCGGUGAAAUGCUUAGAUAUGACAUAGAACACCAAUUGCGAAGGCAGCUUACUAAGCAAAUAUUGACGCUGAGGCACGAAAGCGUGGGGAUCAAACAGG
Molecule: ribosomal RNA, 253 nt
Filed under: uncultured bacterium
Lineage: Bacteria
Description: partial 16S ribosomal RNA
Rfam family: Bacterial small subunit ribosomal RNA
Source: RNAcentral